CUGGUUCGGGAUCACAGAGAUCCUACGCCCAGUUGUUACUCUCAAUAGAGAAUUAACGCUUCACUAGCACAAACCAACAAAAUGUUACAAUAACAAAGAAAAUAAAACAGUUUAAGGUUAGAACACCUCUCUUGUUACCCCAAGAUGAAACUCAUAUCCUCUGUAACCCACAAGGGGUGAACACCUCCUUUGAAUCUUCACAAAGGAUGAACACUUCCUUUGAAUGCUUCGCGAAGGAUGACACGUUUUCAACUCAACAACAUCAACAACACUCAAUCACACUCCCUG
This 288-nucleotide long non-coding RNA is filed under the name Vigna radiata. Its description in RNAcentral is "long non-coding RNA (VRAD_LNC007927)". Lineage: Eukaryota; Viridiplantae; Streptophyta; Magnoliopsida; Fabales; Fabaceae. The record is from RNAcentral.